Pelobates cultripes (western spadefoot toad) is the source of this 225-nucleotide non-coding RNA. The record is from the annotation of a GenBank genome assembly. NCBI's taxonomy places the organism in Eukaryota, Metazoa, Chordata, Amphibia, Anura, Pelobatidae.
GACACUGGGACAUAUAGGGACACUGGGAGACAUGGGGACACUAGGCACACUGAGACACUAGGAACACAGACACUGGGAGACAUAGGGACACUGAAACAUUUGGGGACACUAAGACACUAGGGACACAGAGACAUGGGGACACUGGGAGACUUGGGGACAGUUGUGGACAUAAACAUGGGGACACUGGGACAUAUAGGGACACUGGGACACAUGGGGACACUAGGC